AUGGGUAUAGCUCAGUUUGGUAGAGCGCUUGCUUUGGGAGCAAGAGGUCGAGGGUUCGAGUCCCCCUGCCCGUACCA
Molecule: transfer RNA, 77 nt
Filed under: Stenotrophomonas phage Philippe
Lineage: Duplodnaviria; Heunggongvirae; Uroviricota; Caudoviricetes; Schitoviridae
Description: tRNA-Pro
Rfam family: tRNA
About the family: Transfer RNA (tRNA) molecules are approximately 80 nucleotides in length. Their secondary structure includes four short double-helical elements and three loops (D, anti-codon, and T loops).
Source: RNAcentral